Molecule: ribosomal RNA, 44 nt
Filed under: Stereum hirsutum
Lineage: Eukaryota; Fungi; Basidiomycota; Agaricomycetes; Russulales; Stereaceae
Also listed under: 2 other names
Description: partial 28S ribosomal RNA
Source: RNAcentral
UUGACCUCAAAUCAGGUGGGACUACCCGCUGAACUUAAGCAUAU